AACGAACGCUGGCGGCAUGCCUAACACAUGCAAGUCGAACGCCCCGCAAGGGGAGUGGCGGACGGGUGAGUAACACGUAGGUAACCUGCCCCCCAGUCUGGAACAACUAGAGGAAACUCUAGCUAAUGCCGGAUGAGACCACGAUCCCUUCGGGGGUUGCGGCCAAAGAUGGCCUCUACUUGUAAGCUAUCGCUGAGGGAUGGGCCUGCGGGCCAUUAGCUUGUUGGUGAGGUAACGGCUCACCAAGGCUGUGAUGGCUAGCUGGUCUGAGAGGAUGACCAGCCACACUGGGACUGAGACACGGCCCAGACUCCUACGGAGGCAGCAGUGGGGAAUAUUGCGCAAUGGGCGAAAGCCUGACGCAGCGACGCCGCGUGGGUGAUGAAGGCCUCGGUCGGU
This 399-nucleotide ribosomal RNA is filed under the name uncultured bacterium. RNAcentral describes it as "bacterial SSU rRNA". It matches the Rfam family "Bacterial small subunit ribosomal RNA", at positions 29 to 427 of the family's 1533-position model. The record is from RNAcentral.